This 460-nucleotide ribosomal RNA is filed under the name uncultured bacterium. RNAcentral describes it as "partial 16S ribosomal RNA". It matches the Rfam family "Bacterial small subunit ribosomal RNA", at positions 338 to 795 of the family's 1533-position model. The record is from RNAcentral.
CCUACGGGAGGCUGCAGUGAGGAAUAUUGGUCAAUGGGCGCGAGCCUGAACCAGCCAAGUAGCGUGAAGGAUGACUGCCCUACGGGUUGUAAACUUCUUUUAUAAAGGAAUAAAGUGAUGCACGUGUGCCUUUUUGUAUGUACUUUAUGAAAAAGGCUUGGCUAACUCCGUGCCAGCAGCCGCGGUAAUACGGGGGAUCAGCACGUUUGCCGGAUUUAUUGGGGUUAAAGGGAGAGGAGAGGGGUUGUUAAGUCAGUUGGGAAAGUUUGCGGCUCAACCGUAAAAUUGCAAUUGAUACUGGCAGUCUUGAGUACAGUUGAGGUAGGCGGAAUUCGUGGUGUAGCGGUGAAAUGCUUAGAUAUCACGAAGAACUCCGAUUGCGAAGGCAGCAUACUAAACUGCCACUGACAUUGAUGCUCGAAAGUGUGGGUAUCAAACAGGAUUAGAUACCCUAGUAGUC